RNAcentral lists this long non-coding RNA (26390 nucleotides) under Zea mays. Its description in RNAcentral is "long non-coding RNA (ZMAY_LNC001770)". Lineage: Eukaryota; Viridiplantae; Streptophyta; Magnoliopsida; Poales; Poaceae. The record is from RNAcentral.
UCAUGUCGGUUGAUUAAUGAUUUGUUUAAUCGUCGUCUACUAAAACAGUAAGUUAGUCGAAAUUAAAUAGUUGUUAUAAUUUAUAUUUGAUAAUGUCGAAUUAAAUGUUGUAACUAAUAAUUUUUAAGUGUAAACGCGAUAACUUCUCGACCGUAGCUUCGACCGUCACGUUUUUUAUCCUCGCGUAACCGUAGAAGCGCUCUCUGUUUUUAUUGCUCAUUUUGAUAAUAUUUUAUCUUGUAUGGUGUAAUGUUCUUAUGCAAGUAUAUGUUUGUUUGUGCCUAUUUGUAUUCGUUACGCGUCGUGAAUAUAUUGCGAUCUGUUCCUGAGCUUCGAGGAAUCGACGAUCAAAACUUGGUGAACCACUGGUCCUGAGAUCAAGCUCUUCGAGUUCUACGAGGCUGAAGACCCUGAGCAUCUGUUUGGUGAAGGCAAGUGUCAUCUGACCCAUUAUGUCCUAUUUACUUUAUAAUUCAUUGCCCCGCAUACUAUGAACAACCUAAGGAUUGACUAGCUUUCUAUUUACCUUGUUCUUGAUUACCUUUCGGCUUACAAUGGUUAGCUUCAUGCUAGCGCUUUACUUUAAUCAAUGAACAUGAUGAGAUACAAUGAUGGUACUAUGAUUUUAUUCUGGAUAUGAUGAUAUACUUGUGGCAUUUUAGGGGACUUGAGCGGUUUCUCGAGUGCCUCUCCGUAAGGACUUGUUCGUUGGAUGACCACCCGGGAAAACAGUGCAACCAUGAGGGUGGAAUGGGACGCCCUUAGCUGAAUAAUUAGAGGAACUGGGGUGUAGUUUGCUUCGCCGUCGUGCCGUUAAUGGGGCUCGGUAUAUGCGGCUCGCUCUGCCAAGGUUGGUUCGCCCAUUGGGGAGGAGUGCGGUGCAUUUAGGAAACCUAACGGGCGGCUACAGUCUCAGGGAAUCUUUGUAAAGGCUUCGUAGUGAAUCCCUGGUCAUUCACCUCGGGAGUGAAUAAGGGUCUUGCAAGCCCAGGCUAGAGAGGGAAUCACGGCUUGUGGGUAAAGUGCGCAACCUCUGCAGAGUGUUAUGAAACUGAUAUAUCAACCGUGCUCGCGGUUAUGAGCGGCCAAGGGAGCUCCAUUGAUUAGAGGUACUUUGAUCAGAGAUGGUUGGUUUACAGGUGGUGAUGAGGCCUAGGAAUGCCUCAUGAUCGCGCCGACCAAGGACCCCUCCACGUUCACGGAGAGCCUCGAGGAGACCCUCACCAAAUUAAAUACGAGACAACCAGGCGUCCCUAGGCCCACGAGUACUCGUGGCUUUACCUCGGGUAAGAACAUUGGUUUUACCCUUGUCUUACGACUCCUUCCCAAGGAAGCUACCGCUGGUUGACCCCACUCCCGGCCUAUGAAAGGGAGGGGUUGGCCCCCAGGCAAAGGGACGGUUGGGUCAAGCUGAGUUCACUUGAACACGCACACACAAGGACGAGCCCUAGAUGAACCCAAGAACAGGAGGAGGAGCAUCGACGAGGACUAGGAAGCCAGAGCCCCACCGCCAAGCCAAGACUUAGCUAGGACUCCACUUCCACCCCGAUAAAGAGACUUGGGAGCCUCUCCUCCCUCUCUCACCCACUUGUAACCCCUACUACGAGUUUUGAUUAUCAAUGGUGCUAGUAUCACAAGCCGCCGAUGACUGUAAGUAGGGACGUUCUGCCCAAACCAGUAUAAAUCUUGUGCUCACGAUGUACACCCUUUGGAGCUCGAAACGCGCACAAUAAAUUUACUUGUCGGAGCGAGGUUCGAAACACCGAUAAGAGGUAUCCUCGUUCUUCAUAUUUGGGUAGCAAGAAUUCUGGAAUAGAUGGUGUAUAUAUUUUCAUAUCCAAUUGAAGAGGUUGUUGGAUGAUAUUUUUUCGCUAAAAUCUCUAUUCUUUAAGUUAGUAAAGAUAUAAAGAGUCUCUUGGAUUUGGGUCCAAACAUUAAGGGUGAACCAUCUGCUGUACUCUUUGCGGGAAUGCGUACAAUCCGUGACCUCGCUGUAGGAGCGACUCCUCUCUGCGCCACACCAGAUGGUCCAUGAUGCAGGUCCGGACGGUCCACGAUGUUGCAGAGUUGUCUUCUUCAUUAGAAAACCCUAGAACUCACCUCCCGGGAGGGACCCUGUCGGGGAGGAGAGUUUUAGGGGUGCCCCUAGGUCGGUAGACCACCCGGGAUGUCCCUAGACAACGUAGAGAUGAAAAGGGAUGAAGAUUUAGGGUUGGGGAAAGCUAAACUAGAUCUAAAUUACUCCUACUCCUAGUGCAUUGAAGAACAAAGCAAAAAAAGUUGAUUGUAUUGAUAGAUUCGAUUGUGUUUUGUUCCAAUCGGUGGUGUACCCCUUCACAUAUAUAGGGGGAGGUAUGAACUCGUUCCUAGGCGUAUCCCAAUAGAUUUUCAUGCGCUUAGUCGGAUAAGAACGCACGAGAUAAGUACUCUCGCCUGAGUUAAUCUGAUCGCGGACCGUCCGGACUAUACCCGCGGAAUAUCCGAGGCGAGGACCGUCCGAACCUCAUGGUCGGACCGUCCAUUUGUCCCAGGUGUCACAAAUGGUGCUCAACACAUCCCCUUGUCUUUUGGGGAAGUUAAGCGAACCAAAAGCACCUCGUAUAGACUGUUAUCAACUCGAUGUAAGAACACUGGUUUUCUAAGCAUCUUGCCAUACAUUAGGAUGAUAUUGCUUCAAGAAGCGACCAUUCAAUCGUUGUGAUUUGGUACUGGGUCAGACGCAUCUUCUUACGCCAGCAAUCUCCUGCUAACGUCCUCGACCGAAAUGGUGGAGAUAUUGAGCAAGGUUUACAUUGAAAUGAUGACCUGCUUAUACCUGCUACGAGAGAUGUAGAGGUACUUAUUGGCGACCUUCGCAGGAUCUUUAGGAUCAGCCAAGAUGGAGAGCUGGCUGACGAUGCCGGUGAAGCGCGGGGUGAAAUUCUUGACGCCCUCGCCAUCCUUGAACAUCAGACCUUCAUAUUGUCAUCGUACUCGUUGCACACUGGUCUUCCUUAUCCGAUCAUCGCCCGCACGCGCGGUGCGUAUUUUGUACCAUGUUGUUCUUGUUGACUGCUUGGUGGCGAUCGUCGUAGACGCCACCAUCUCUGACAGCGCGACGCUGCAAAUCGCGUCCAACGCCAUGCGGUCGACAUGGAGCUCGACGUCGUUGUGGUUGAUGGUGUUCCAGAGACACUUGGCCUCUAGCCUGAUCUUCAUGAGCAGCGACCAGUCGUUGUAAUUGGUUUUCGUCGGCAUCGGUUAGCUCGCCGGUGCGACCGCCGCGACAACGCACUUGGCAACGACUACGCGGCAAGAACAGAGAGCACACUCUUUGCGCUUGUGAACCGCUGCAACAUUUUUUGUGCUUCUUCUUCCUUUAUGCGAACGCGGGCAUGGAGAAACAAAGCGUCGACGAGUGAAACACGCGACGAGCUCGAAUGCGUGUCUAUCCCCACGUCACAAGUCAUGGACGCUCUCAAAUGCGAACACAACUAACUGGAGCUAUUCUCCUCCACAUGUCAGGGCUCGAUGCAUGAACAGAAAGGAAACAAGCUAGCUAACUGACACAACAGCACUGCAGACGAUUUUCGGUGGCCACUCUUAUUUUCGGUGGCUGACGUAGGCCGAAAAAAAAAUAACUCCUUAUUUUCGGCAGCUGACGCAAGCCGCCGAAAAUAACGCUAUUUUCGGCGGCCGUUGACACGGCCGCCGAAAAUAAAUGGAUUUAAACCGUUAGCGUCGAUUUCUUCUCUGCUUCUUCUCUUUCUCCUAGCCGACCCCACUAGCUUUCCUAGUCGCCGCCCACGCCGCCGACGCGCCGUCCCCGCCCCGUCCGCGCUAUCGCGCCGCCCCAGUCACGUCCUCGCCGUGCCGACGUGGCCGCGGCCCCGUUCCGCCGCACAUCACCCGCCGCCCGGCUUCUCCCCGGCCGCGCCACCCCCGCCCCGGCCGCGUCCAUCGAGCUCUCCUCCCGCCAUCGCUCUGCGCCCCGAGCCUUUCUCCAUAAACAGGUUAAUUUUUUUAGUUUUUUAUUUCAUAUUUUUGGCGGUCGUUAUUUAAUUGCAGCCGAAAUUAGUAUAUAUUUGUAAUUGUUGUUUGUUUGAUUAGUGUAUGUGAUUAGUAUUAUUGUUUAGUUCGAUUAUAUUAAUGUAUUAAUGGUAUAUGUGGUUCAGCAAUUAGGGGUAUAUUGUAUUUGUGGAAUUACUUUUAUAUUAAUAUGUGAUACAAUUAUAUUAUUAGUUUUAUAAGUACAUUAUAUUGGUAUGGCGUACAGUUUCCAUAUUAGUGGUAUGUGGUACUUAGUAUAAUUUAAUUAAUAGCAUAUCAUUCUUUGUUUUAUAUAUAAGUAAUAUAGUGUUUAGUGGCAGCGAAGUUAUGUUGUUGAAUUUUUUUGGGUCCUGCUAGUUUGUGGGUUUAAAACCUAUCCUUGCCUAUAGAUAUAGGAUCGAUACCCAUGACGAAGUUGAAUAAUGUUUUCACGAUAUGGUCUGGUUUAACAAUCUCAGGCAUGGCUGAAGAUCGUGCAUGGAUAUACAAUGACUGAAGUAAUAAUGGACGUCAUUCUGAUAAUUGGGUAGCCAAGACCAAAGAUUUUAUGGACCAUGUAUUCUCCUUCUCAUUAACCGGCACUGUCAGAUGCCCUUGUAGGCGGCACAAAAACAGUAUAUUCCUUAAUAAGUAAAGAGUUAUCUUAGAUCUUUGUCAGUUUGGAUUUAUGCCCGGAUAUGAGGUGUGGGAACAUCAUAGUGAGGUAGUACCCAACCCGAAUGUAGAAGAGGAGCAGAACAAUGAUUGAGCUGGUGAUGAUGCGAUGCAUGAGAUGCUAGAUUCGCUACGUCCAGAGUUAAACCUAAGCUCCGAGGAUCCUACCACAGCAGAGGUUUUCAGAUUUUUUAAACUACUAAAAGACUCUGAAGAGCCGUUGCAUCAACACACAGAUGUGAGUAUACUCGCUUUUGUGACCCGGCUCAUGGCCAUUAAGUCCAAGUAUUUUUUUUCUCGAACAACUGUUACAAUGAGAUUUUAAAGUUAUUAGGAUAUGUGCUGCCAAAGACCAAUAAGUGGCCUAAAGACAUCUACCGUUCAAAGACAAUUAUCAAAGGUCUCGGUAUGGAUUAUGAAAAAAUUGAUGUGUGCAAAAAUAACUGUAUGCUUUUCAUGAAGGAGCAUGCGGGAGAGAAAAAAUGUCUGAAAUAUGGACAAUCUAGAUUUGUGUAAGUUGUUAAUGAUGAGGGUGACAAGAUGAUGACAGAUGUUGCACAUAAGCAGCUUCGCUACUUGCCACUAACUCCUCGAGUGAAACGGUUGUUUCUAUCUAAAAACCGCUAUGCACAUGUGAUGGCACAAAGAAGGUGUCUGUGAGAACGAUGAGCUAAUUGUGCACCCUUUAGAUGGGGAUACUUGGAAGGCUCUUGACACGUUUGAUCCAGACUUUGCAGCUGAACCGAGAAAUGUUCAAAUCGGCCUUGCGACCGAUUGCUUCACACCUUUAGGUCAAAUGACAUCAUCAUACUCAUGUUGGCCCGUCUUCGUUAUUCCAUACAACCUUUCACCUUCUCUUUGUAUGAAAUAUGAAUUUAUAUUUCUUUGCUUAAUCAUUCUUGGCCUAGACCAUCCUGGAAAGAAACUCAAUGUCAUGUUAAAACCCUUAAUUGAAGAGUUGAAGGAGCAUUGGAAAGAAGUCGAAGCAUACGAUGUUUUUAAAAACAGAUAUACAAACUUCGGGUUGCGUAUUUGUGGCUGGUGCAUGACUUCACGGUGUAUGCUAUUUUUGUCGGUUGGAGUACACAUGGUAGAUUGACAUGUCCAUAUUGCGGUUCAGAUACAGAUUGCUUCUUAAAGUCAUCUAGAGGGGGGUGGAUAGGCGAAAUCUGAAAUUAUAAACUUAAGCACACACUACAAGCCGGGGUUAGCGUUAGAAUGAAUAUUAAGUUCGGGGGAGAAGGGAAAACAAAUCAACCAAGAAAUAAAGCAGAUGAACAUGGUGAUUUGUUUUACCGAGGUUCGGUUCUAAAGAACCUAGUCCUCGUUGAGGUGGUCACAAAGACCGGGUCUCUUUCAACCCUUUCCCUCUCUCAAACGGUCACUUAGACCGAGUGAGCUUUCUUCCUUGAUUUCUUGGGUCACUUAGACCCCGCAAGGAUCACCACACGAUUGGUGUCUCUUGCUUUGCUUACAAGGCUUUGAGAAUAAGAAUGAGAGAAAGAAGAAAGUCAACCAAGCAACAAGAGCAACAAAGAAACACAAGAACGAUCCUCUCACAAGUCCUAAAGCACUAGAAUUGAAUUGGGGACUUUGAUUGGAUCGGUGGCUUUGAUUUGUGUCUUGGAGUGUUGCACUUUGCUCUUGUAUUGAAUGAAGUGUGAUGAAUGCUUGGAUUGUUGGAGUGGAGGUGGUUGAGGGGUAUUUAUAGCCCUCAACCACCAAACAACCGUUGGGGUUGGGUUGCUGUCGAUGGGCGCACCGGACAGUCCGGUGCGCCAGCCACGUCACCCAACCGUUAGGGUUCGGGCACAGUCGACCGUUGGAGCUUUGUCUUCUUGUGGCACCGGCAGUCCGGUGCCACACCGGACAGACACUGUUCACUGUCUGGUGCGCCUCUGGCGACUGCUCUGACUUCUGAGCGCACUGUUCUUCACUGUUCACGGAGUCAUCGGCUUUUGCAGUCGACCGUUGCGUGAAGGAGCCGUUGCUCCGCUGUUGCACCGGACAGUCCGGUGAAUUAUAGCGGAGCACGCCCAGAGAAACCCGAGGGUGGCGAGUUUGGAGUUGUACGGUCCUGGUGCACCGGACAUUGUCCGGUGGCACACCGGACAGCCCGGUGCGCCAGACCAGGGCACACUCGGUUUCUUACUCCUUUCGAAUUUGAACCCAUUUCUUCAAACUUUUAUUGGUUUGUGUUGAACCUUUAUGCACCUGUAUAUCAUAUACUCUAGAGCAAACUAGUUAGUCCAAUAUUUUUGUUGGGCAUUCAACCACCAAAAUUAUUUAUAGGAAAAGGUUAAACCCUAUUUCCCUUUCAUUCUCCCCUUUUUGGUGAUUGAUACCAACACAAACCAAAGCAAAUAUAUAAGUGCAGAAUUGAACUAGUUUGCAUAAUGUAAGUGCAUAGGUUACAUGGAAUUAAACCAAUUAUUUAACAUUUUUGGACCACAUUUUCACCACUUGUUUUGUUUUUGCAAAUUCUUUUGGAAAACAUUUUCAAAGUCUUUUGCAGAUAGUCAAAGGUACAUGAAUAAGAUUGCAUGAAGCAUUUUUCUAGAUUUGAAAUUUCUCCCCCUGUUUCAAAUGCUUUUCCUUUGACUAAACAAAACUCCCCCUAAAUGAAAUUCUCCACUUAGCUUUCAAGGGGGUUUUAAUAGAUACCAGUUAGAAACAUAUUUAGAUUGCUAGUUUUGAAAAACUAUACCAAUUUGAAAGUAUCAUACUAAUUUAAGAAAUUUCUUAUCAAAAGAUAUCAAUUGAAAAACAACCUUUUGUGAAACUAAAAUUUUUGAAGUUGGUGGUGCGGUCCUUUUGCUUUGGGCUUAAUAUUUCUCCCCCUUUGGCAUUAAUCGCCAAAAACGGAGACUUUGAGAGCCCUUUUACUUUCUCCCCUAUUGGUAAAUGAUAUAUGAGUGAAAGAUUAUACCAAUUUGAGAGUGAUGUAGAGUGACGGCGAAGGGUAAAAGAUACCGGUAGAGUAGAGUGGAAGCCUUGUCUUCGCCGAAGAACUCCAUUUACCUUUCAGUCUACGACUUACUGUAAGAAUACACUUGAAAACACAUUAGUCGUAGUCAUGAAAGAGAUAUGAUCAAAGGUAUGUAAAUGAGCUAUGUGUGCAAUGUUUCAGUCAAAGUUCCGCGAAUCAAGUAUAUUUAGCUCAUUCCUAAGUUUGCUAAAGGUUUUCUCAUCUAAUGGCUUGGUAAAGAUAUCGGCUAAUUGUUCUUUGGUGCUAACAUAAGCUAUCUCGAUAUCCCCCCUUUGUGGUGAUCCCUCAGAAAGUGAUACCGAAUGUCUAUGUGCUUAGUGCGGCUGUGUUCAACGGGAUUAUCCGCCAUGCGGAUUGCACUCUCAUUAUCACAUAGGAGAGGGACUUUGCUCAAUUUGUAGCCAUAGUCCCUGAGGGUUUGCCUCAUCCAAAGUAAUUGCACACAACAAUGACCUGCGGCAAUAUACUCGGCUUCGGCGGUAGAAAGAGCUACUGAGUUUUGUUUCUUCGAAGCCCACGACACCAGGGAUCUUCCCAGAAACUGACAAGUCUCUGAUGUGCUCUUCCUAUCAAUUUUACACCCUGCCCAAUCAGCAUCAGAAUAUCCUAUUAAAUCAAAAGUGGAUCCCUUGGGGUACCAAAGACCAAACUUAGGAGUAUAAACUAAAUAUCUCAUGAUUCUUUUCACGGCCCUAAGGUGAAUUUCCUUAGGAUCGGCUUGGAACAUUGCACACAUGCAUACAGAAAGCAUAAUAUUCGAUCGAGAUGCACAUAAAUAGAGUAAAGAUCCUAUCAUCGACUGGUAUACCUUUUGAUCUACGGAUUUACCUCCCGUGUCGAGGUUGAGAUGCCCAUUUGUUCCCAUGGGUGUUUUGAUGGGCUUGGCAUCCUUCAUUCCAAACUUGUUGAGUAUGUCUUGAAUGUACUUUGUUUGGCUGAUGAAGGUGCCGUCUUGGAGUUGCUUGACUUGAAAUCCUAGAAAAUACUUCAACUCCCCCAUCAUCGCCAUCUCGAAUUUCUGUAUCAUGAUCCUACUAAACUCUUCACAAGUGGAUUUGUUAGUAGACCCAAAUAUGAUAUCAUCAACAUAAAUUUGGCAUACAAACAAAUAUUUUGCAAUGGUUUUAGUAAAGAGUGUAGGAUCGGCUUUUCCGACUUUGAAGCCAUUAGUGAUAAGAAAAUCUCGUAGGCAUUCAUACCAUGCUCUUGGGGCUUGCUUGAGCCCAUAAAGCGUGUUUGAGAGUUUAUAGACAUUAUUAGGGUACUCACUAUCUUAAAAGUUGGGAGGUUGCUCAACAUAGACCUCUUCCUUGAUUGGUCUAUUAAGGAAGGCACUUUUCACGUCCAUUUGGUAAAGCUUAAAGCCAUGGUGAGUAGCAUAGGCAAGUAAUAUACAAAUUGACUCAAGCCUAGCUACGGGUGCAUAAGUUUCAUCAAAGUCCAAACCUUUGACUUGUGAAUAACCCUUGGCCACAAGUCGGGCUUUGUUCCUUGUCACCACACCAUGCUCAUCUUGCUUGUUGCGGAAUACCCAUUUGGUUCCUAAAAUAUUUUGGUUAGGACGUGGAACUAAAUGCCAUACCUCAUUCCUCGUGAAGUUGUUGAGUUUCUCUUGCAUUGCCAGCACCCAAUCUGUAUCUCUUAGUGCAUCCUCCACCCUGUAUGGAUCAAUAGAGGACACAAAAGAGUAGUGUUCACAAAAAUGUGCGACUCGAGACCGAGUAGUUACCCCCUUAUGAAUAUCGCCAAGAAUGGAGUUGACGGGGUGAUCUCUUUGAAUCGCUUGGUGGACUCUUGGGUGUGGCGGUCUUUGACCCUGUUUUUCUUGCUCAUCUUAUUUGUCUUCAUCUCCCCCUUGAUCAUUGUCCUCCUCUUUGGGUGGCUCAUCCUCUUGAUCUUCAUUAUCUUGAGCCUGAUCCUCAUCUUGAGUUGGUGGAGAUACUUGCAUGGAAGAUGACGGUUGAUCUUGUGUUUGUGUGGGCUCUUCAGAUUCCUUAGGACACACAUCCCCAAUGGACAUGUUCCUUAGCGCGAUGCAUGGAGCCUCUUCAUCAUCUAAUUCAUCAAGAUCAACUUGCUCCACUUGGGAGCCAUUAGUCUCAUCAAACAGAAUGUCACAAAAUACCUCAACUAAUCCAGUGGAUUUGUUGAAGACUCUAUAUGCCCUUGUGUUUAAGUCAUAUCCUAGUAAAAAGCCUUCUACACCCUUAGGAGCAAAUUUAGAUUUUCUACCUCUUUUAAUAAGAAUAAAGCAUUUGCUACCAAAGACUCUAAAAUAUGAAACAUUGGGCUUUUUACCGGUGAGGAGUUCGUAUGAUGUCUUCUUGAGGAUUUGGUGAAGGUAGAGCCGGUUGAUGGAGUAGCAAGUAGUGUUGAUUGCUUCCGCCCAAAACCGGUCUGGUGUCUUGUACUCAUCAAGCAUGGUCCUUGCCAUGUCUAGUAAAGUUCUAUUCUUCCUCUCCACUACACCAUUUUGUUGAGGUCUGUAGGGAGAAGAGAACUCAUGCUUGAUGCCCUCAUCCUCAAGAAAGCCUUCUAUUUGUGAGUUCUUGAACUCUGUCCCGUUAUCGCUUCUUAUUUUCUUGAUCCUUAAUCCGAACUCAUUUUGAGCCCGUCUCAAGAAUCCCUUUAAAGUCUCUUGGGUUUGAGAUUUUUCCUGCAAAAAGAAUACCCAAGUGAAGCGAGAAUAAUCAUCCACAAUAACUAGACAGUACUUACUCCCGCCGAUACUUAUGUAAGCUAUCGGGCUGAAUAGAUCCAUGUGGAGCAAUUCCAGUGGCAUGUUUGUUGUUAUUAUGUUCUUGUGUGGAUGGUGGGUACCAACUUGCUUUCCUGCUUGACAAGCGCUACAAAUCUUGUCUUUCUCAAAAUGAACAAUUGUUAGUCCCAAAAUGUGCUCUCCAUUUAGAAGCUUGUGAAGAUUCUUCAUCCCAACAUGGGCUAGUUGGCGAUGCCAGAGCCAACCCAUAUUAGUCUUAGCAAUUAAGCAAGUAUCGAGUUCAGCUUUGUUAAAAUCAACUAAGUAUAGCUGACCCUCUAAUACCCCCUUAAAUGCUACUGAAUCAUCACUUCUUCUAAAGACAGUAACACCUACAUCUAUAAAAAGACAGUUGUAGCCCAUUUUGCAUAAUUGAGAAACUGAAAGCAAGUUGUAAUCUAAAGAAUCUACAAGAAAAACAUUGGAAAUAGAAUGGUCAGGUGAUAUAGCAAUUUUACCAAGUCCUUUGAUCAAACCUUGAUUUCCAUCCCCGAAUGUGAUAGCUCGUUGGGGAUCUUUGUUUUUCUUGUAGGAGGAGAACAUUCUUUUCUCCCCUGUCAUAUGGUUUGUGCAUCCACUAUCAAUUAUCCAACUUGAGCCCCCGGAUGCAUAAACCUGCAAAACAAUUUAGGCCUUGUUCUCGGGUACCCAAACAGUCUUGGGUCCUUUCACGUUAGAAACAAGCACCUUGGGUACCCAAACACAAGUCUUGGAGCCCUUGUGUUUGCCCCCAACAUAUUUGGCAACUACUUUGCCUGAUUUGUUAGUUAAAACAUAAGAUGCAUCAAAAGUCUUAAAUGAAAUGUUAGGCUCAUUUGAUGCAGUAGGAGCUUUCUUUUUAGGCAAUUUAACAUGGGUUGAUUGCCUAGAGCUAGAAGCCUCAUUCUUAUACAUAAAAGCAUGAUGGGAAAUAGAAUGUGAUUUCUUAGCAUGAAUUCUCCUAAUCUUAUGCUCAGGAUAAUUAACAGGAUAUAAAAUGUAACCUUCAUUAUCUUGAACCAUGGGAGCUUUGCCCUUAACAAAAUUAGACAAUCUUUUAAGGGCAUUAAGUUUGACAUUGCUUCCCUGUUGAAACCAAUGACAUCCUUGAUGCCAGGGCGUCUCCCAUUAUAGAGCAUGCUUCUAGCAAAUUUAAAUUUUUCAUUUUCAAUUUCAUGCUCAUUAAUUUUAGCAGUUAGUUGAGCUAUACGAUCAUUUCGUUGUUUAAUUAAAGCAAGGAGAUCAUGGAUAGCUUCAACAUUAACAUCUCUACAUCUAGUACAAAUAGUAAUAUGAUCAACAGUGGAUGUAGAGGGUUUGCAAGCAUUUAAUUCAUCUAUCUUAGCAUGUAAUAUUGCAUUCUCAUCUCUAAGACAGGAAAUAGAAUCAUUGCAAAUAUUUAAAGCUUUAGCCUUGGAAAUUAAACUAGCAUUUUCAGUUUUAAGGCUAGAGAUUGAUUCAUUCAAUUUAUCAAUCUUAGUAAUUAAACUAGCAUUUCUAUUUCUAAGAUUGAUAAUUGAAUCAUGGCAAAUGCUAAGCUUCUUAGUCAAGUUUUCAUUUUUCUCUACUUCCUGAGCAUAAGUGAGAGCACCUAGAGGGGGGUGAAUAGGUGAUCCUAUAAAACUUAAAACUUAACACCACAAACUUGAUUAAGAGUUAGAACAAUGAAAUCAAGUGAGUAGAGAGGAGAGCUCUUGUGAAGCACAAUAGACACAAUAAGGACAAGCACAAGAGACAUGAGGAUUUAUCCCGUGGUUCGGCCAAGUACAAAACUUGCCUACUCCACGUUGUGGCGUCCCAACGGACGAGAGUUGCACUCAACUCCUCUCAAGUGAUCCACAGAUCAACUUGAAUACCACAGUGUUCUUCUUUACUUUACUCUUUCCCGUUUGCGAGGAAUCUCCACAACUUGGAGUCUCUCGCCCUUACAAUAAGAAUCACAAUGAAGCACUAGAGUAAGGAAGGGUAGCAACACACUCAAAUCCACAGCAAAUACGCACACACAAGACCAAGACUUGAGCUCAAAACAAUAUCUCAAGGUUCUCACUAGAACGGAGCUCAAAUCACUAAGAAUGUCGAACAAGUCAAGAAUGAAGUGUGAGUGAUCAACAAUGCUCAAAGGAUGCUCUGUGUUCUCCUCCAUGCGCCUAGGGGUCCCUUUUAUAGCCCCAAGACAGCUAGGAGCCGUUGAGAGCAUUUCAAGAAGGCAAUUUUUGCCUUCUGUCAUCUGGCGCACCGGACAGUCUGGUGCACCACCGGACACUGUCCGGUGCGGAUUUCUUUCCUUCUUUGGCGAAGCCGACCGUUGGCGGUUCAGAGCCGUUGGCGCACCGGACACUGUCCGAUGCACACCGGACAGUCCGGUGCCCCUUCUGACCAUUGACUCUUGCCACGCGUCGCGCGCGGAUUAUGCGGCCGACCGUUGGCCCGGCCGACUGUUGGCUCACCGGACAGUCCGGUGCAUCACCGGACAGUCCGGUGAUUUAUAGCCGUAUGCCGUUAAUUUCUUCCCGAGAGCAGCCAGUUGACAGACGCCGGCCUGGCGCACCGGACACUGUCCGGUGCACCACCAGACACUGUCCGGUGCACCACCGGACAGUCCGGUGCACCCAGACCGAGCAGCCUUUUGGCUACACACAGCCAACUUCUCCAAAGUUGUUUCUCCUGUUUCUAGCACUUAGACACAAUACAUUAGUCUUCAAAACAAUGUACUAAGUCUAGAACCAUACCGUUAAUCUUGAUUUGCACUUCUUGAGUCCUUGGCACAAUUUAACACUUAGGCACUUGUGUUGGACACUUAAUCACCAAAAUACUUAGAAAUGGCCUAAGGGAACAUUUCCCUUUCAAUCUCCCCCUUUUUGGUGAUUUAUGCCAACACAACAAAAAGCAACUAAAAGAAGUGCAACAUCAAUGCAAAUGAAAACACAAAUUUGUUUUGUCUCAAAUUUGGCAUAUUUGGAUCAUUCUUUGCUACCACUUGGUUUGUUUUUGCAAAUCAACCUCAAUUUCCUAUCUCUAAGUCAAACACACUUGUUGAGACAUGAAGAGAGUUGUUCCAAGAGAAAUUGAUCAAGGAUUUCAAAAACUCCCCCUUUUUCCCAUAAUCAAAUAUUCUCCCCACAAGAGAUCAACUUUUGACAAACAAAAACUCUAACUCUACUUUUUUAAGAUUCUCAAGUGGUAGCUGAUCCAUUUCUUGCUUUGGCCUUAUUUUCUCCCCCUUUGGCAUCAAGCACCAAAACGGAAUCAAUCUUGGCCCUUUAACCUCGUUGCCUCACCAAAAUUUUCAACUUAGAGUAAAAAGGCAAUAGGAGUACAAAGAUGAACUUGGAAUCAGUUACUCUUUCAUCGGAGUGCAGUGGAAGUCUUGCAUGGUCCAAGUCCACCUUUUCCCUUUCAAACCUCCUUUGAGACUAAAUUAAGCAAACUCAAGCACACAGUUAGUCUCAAAGGGUCAAGUUGUAGCACAUCUCCCCCUAAAUAUGAGCAUCACUUGCAAAUGGACUUGUGAGGUCCGGGGAGUGCUUGUACAACUUGAGCACCAUAAACAAACAACAAAAUGCAUUAAGGAACAUGAUCAAGGCAUAAAACACAUGUAUGCUAUAAAUCAAUCCAGGUUCCGUGAAUCUAAGACAUUCAGCUCACUUCGCAGCCUGCAAAAGGUUGACUCAUCUAGAGGCUUGGUAAAGAUAUCGGCUAGCUGGUUCUCGGUGCUAACAUAAAACACUUCGAUAUCUCCCUUUUGCUGGUGGUCUCUCAAAAAGUGAUGUCGGAUGUCUAUGUGCUUUGUGCGGCUGUGUUCAACAGGAUUAUCCGCCAUGCGGAUAGCACUCUCAUUAUCACAUAGGAGUGGAACUUUGCUCAGAUUGUAGCCAAAGUCCCGGAGGGUUUGCCUCAUCCAAAGUAGUUGCGCGCAGCACUGUCCUGCGGCAACAUACUCGGCUUCAGCGGUGGAUAGGGCAACGGAAGUUUGUUUCUUAGAGCUCCACGACACCAGGGACCUUCCUAAGAAUUGGCACGUCCCCGAUGUACUCUUCCUAUCGACCUUACAUCCAGCAUAAUCGGAGUCUGAAUAUCCAAUCAAGUCAAAGGUAGACCCUUUUGGAUACCAGAUCCCGAAGCAAGGCAUAGCGACUAAAUAUCUAAGAAUUCGCUUUACAGCCACUAAGUGACACUCCCUUGGAUCAGAUUGAAAUCUAGCACACAUGCAUACGCUAAGCAUAAUAUCCGGUCUACUAGCACAUAAAUAAAGUAAAGACCCUAUCAUGGACCGGUAUGCCUUUUGAUCAACGAACUUACCUCCUUUGUUGAGGUCGGUGUGUCCGUCGGUUCCCAUUGGAGUCUUUGCGGGCUUGGCGUCCUUCAUCCCAAACCGCUUGAUCAAGUCUUGUGUGUACUUCGUUUGGGUGAUGAAGGUGCCAUCCUUGAGUUGCUUCACUUGGAACCCAAGGAAGUAGUUCAACUCGCCCAUCAUCGACAUCUCGAACUUUUGAGUCAUCACCAUGCUAAACUCUUCACAAGACUUUUGGUUAGUAGAACCAAAUAUUAUGUCGUCGACAUAAAUUUGGCACACAAAUAAAUCGCUAUCACAUGUCUUAGUGAAAAGAGUUGGAUCGGCUUUCCCAACCUUUAAAGCAUUAGCAAUUAAAAAGUCUCUAAGGCAUUCAUACCAUGCUCUUGGGGCUUGCUGAAGUCCAUAGAGCGCCUUAGAGAGCUUACACACAUGGUCGGGGUACCGUUCAUCCUCGAAGCCAGGGGGUUGCUCCACGUACACCUCCUCCUUGAUUGGCCCGUUGAGGAAAGCGCUCUUCACAUCCAUUUGGAACAACUUAAAAGAAUGGUGAGUAGCAUAGGCUAACAAUAUGCGAAUUGACUCUAGCCUAGCCACAGGAGCAAAAGUCUCCUCAAAGUCCAAACCUGCGACUUGGGCAUAACCUUUUGCCACAAGUCGUGCCUUGUUCCUUGUCACCACCCCGUGCUCAUCUUGUUUGUUGCGGAACACCCACUUGGUUCCCACAACAUUUUGCUUGGGACGAGGCACCAGUGUCCAAACUUCAUUUCUCUUGAAGUUGUUGAGCUCCUCUUGCAUGGCCAACACCCAGUCCGGAUCUAGCAAGGCCUCUUCUACCCUGAAAGGCUCAAUAGAAGAGACAAAGGAGUAGUGCUCACAAAAAUUAACUAAUCUAGAACGAGUAGUUACUCCCUUGCUUAUGUCACCCAAUAUUUGGUCGACGGGAUGAUUCCUUUGAAUCGUCGCUCGAACUUGGGUUGAAGGUGCCGGUUGUGCUUCUUCCUCCAUUAAAUGAUCAUCUUGUGCUCCCCCUUGAUCACACGCCUCCUCUUGAUGGACCUGUUCAUCUUCUUGAGUUGGGGGUUGCACCGUUGUCGAGGAAGAAGGUUGAUCUUGCUCCUUUUGUUCCAGUGGUCAUACAUCACCAAUCGCCAUGGUAUGUAUUGCGGCCGUCGGAACAUCUUCUUCAUCUACAUCAUCAAGAUCAACAACUUGCUCUCUUGGAGAGCCAUUAGUCUCAUCAAAUACAACGUCGCUAGAGACUUCAACCAAACCCGAUGAUUUGUUGAAGACCCUAUACGCCUUUGUAUUUGAGUCAUAACCUAAAAAAACCCUUCUACAGCUUUGGGAGCAAACUUAGAACUUCUACCUUUCUUUACUAGAAUAUAACACUUGCUCCCAAAUACACGAAAGUAAGAUACAUUGGGUUUGUUACCGGUUAGAAUCUCAUAUGAAGUCUUCUUGAGGAGGCGAUGAAGGUAGACCCGGUUGAUGACGUGGCAAGCCGUGUUCACGGCUUCCGACCAAAACCGCCCGGGGGUCUUGAACUCUCCAAGCAUCGUCCUUGCCAUGUCAAUGAGCGUCCUGUUCUUCCUCUCUACCACACCGUUUUGCUGUGGUGUGUAGGGAGCGGAGAACUCGUGCUUGAUCCCUUCCUCCUCAAGGUACUCCUCCACUUGAAGGUUCUUGAACUCGGACCCGUUGUCGCUCCUUAUCUUCUUCACCUUGAGCUCAAACUCAUUUUGAGCUCUCCUUAGGAAGCGCUUGAGGGUCCCUUGGGUUUCAGAUUUAUCCUGCAAAAAGAAUACCCAAGUGAAGCGAGAAAAAUCAUCAACUAUAACAAGACCAUACUUACUUCCUCCUAUGCUUAGAUAGGCGACGGGUCCGAAGAGGUCCAUAUGAAGUAACUCCAGGGGUCUUGAUGUUGUCAUCACAUUUUUGGCAUGAUGAGAGCUUCCCACCUGUUUACCUGCUUGACAAGCUGCAUAAGGUCUAUCUUUUUCGAAGGUUACAUUAUUUAGACCUAUCACGUGUUCUCCCUUUAGAAGCUUGUGAAGGUUCUUCAUCCCCACAUGUGCUAAACGGCGAUGCCACAGCCAGCCCAUGCUAGUCUUAGCAAUUAAGCAUGCAUCUAGACCGGCCUCCUCUUUUGCAAAAUCAACUAAAUAAAGUUUGUCGUCUAGUACACCCUUAAAAGCUAAUGAACCAUCACUUCUUCUAAAGACAGACACAUCUAAAUUUGUGAAUAAACAGUUAUAUCCCAUAUUACAAAGUUGACUCACAGACAACAAGUUAUAUCCAAGCGACUCAACUAAGAACACAUUAGAAAUAGAAUGCUCGGAUGAGAUAGCAAUUUUUCCUAACCCUUUCACCUUGCCUUGGUUCCCAUCACCGAAUAUGAUUGAAUCUUGGGGAUCCUUGUUCUUGACGUAGGAAGAGAACAUCCUCUUUUCCCCCGUCAUGUGGUUUGUGCAUCCGCUGUCGAUAAUCCAGCUUGAGCCCCCGGAUGCAUAAACCUGCAAGGCAAAUUUAAGCUUGGGUCUUAGGUACCCAACUCAUGUUGGGUCCUACAAGGUUAGUUACAAUAGUCUUAGGGACCCAAAUGCAAGUCUUGUCUCCCUUACAUUUGGCCCCUAAUUUCCUAGCAAUUACCUUUUUAUCCUUUCUACAAAUAGCAAAGGAAGCAUUGCAAGCAUAAUAAAUUGUAGAAGGUUCAUUCAUUACUUUCCUAGGAACAUGAACAAUAUUUCUUCUAGGCAUAUGAUGAACAACAUUUUUCCUAGCCACAUUUCUAUCAUGCAUAAUAGAGGAACUAGAAGCAAUCAUGGCAUGAGAAAAAGCAUCAUAACUUCUAUAAACAUUCCUAGAAUGUCUCCUAUCAUGAUACAUGAAAGCAUGGUUCUUUUGAGCACUACUAGCCAUAGGGGCCUUCCCUUUCUCCUUGGCGGAGAUGGAAGCCUUAUGGCUUGUUAAGUUCUUGACUUCCCUCUUGAAGCCAAGACCAUCCUUAAUUGAGGGGUGUCUACCAAUCGUGUAGGCAUCCCUUGCAAAUUUUAGUUUGUCAAAUUCACUCUUGCUAGUCUUAAGUUGGGCAUUAAGACAAGCCACUUCAUCAUUCAAAUUAGAAAUUGAAACUAGAUGUUCACUACAAGCAUCAAUAUUAAAAUCUUUACACCUAUUGCAAAUUGCAACCUGUUCUACACAAGAUGUUGAUUUAUUAGCUAUUUCUAACUUAGCAUUCAAAUCAUCAUUCAUGCUCUUUAAGCUAGAAAUAGAGUCAUGACAUGUAGACAAUUCACAAGAAAGCAUUUCAUUCCUUUUGAUUUCUAAAGCAAGGGAUUUUUGUGCCUCUACAAACUUAUCAUGUUCUUCAUACAAAAGAUCCUCUUGUUUUUCUAAUAACCUAUUUUUAUCAUUCAAGGCAUCAAUUAACUCAUUAAUCUUAUCAACCUUAGUUCUAUCUAGGCCCUUGAAUAAACAUGAAUAGUCUAUUUCAUCAUCGCUAGAUUCUUCAUCACUUGAGGAAGCAUAAGUACUAGUAUCACGAGUGCUUACCUUCUUUUCCCUUGCCAUGAGGCAGGUGUGAUGAUCGUUGGGGAAGAGGGCCAACUUGUUGAAGGCGGUGGCGGCGAGUCCUUCAUUGUCGGAGUCGGACGACGAACAAUCUGAGUCCCACUCCUUUCUAAGGUGUGCCUCGCCCUUAGCUUUCUUGUAAGCCUUCUUCUUUUCCUUCUUGUUCCCUUGUUCCUGGUCACUAUCAUUAUUGGGACAGUUAGCGAUAAAAUGACCAAUCUUACCACAUUUGAAGCAUGAGUGCUUCCCCUUCAUCUUGGUCUUGUUUGAAUGCUCCUUGCGACCCCUUAGCGACGUCUUGAAACGCUUAAUGAUGAGGGCCAUCUCUUCCUCAUUGAGUCCCACCGUCUCAACUUGUGCCACCUUACUAGGUAGCACUUCCUUGCUCCUCGUUGCUUUGAGAGCAACGGUUUGAGGCUCGUGGAUUCGGCCGUUCAACGCAUUGUCAACGUAUCUUGCCUCCUUGAUCAUCAUCCGCCCGCUUACGAAUUUUCCAAGUAUCUCCUCGGGCGUCAUCUUGGUGUACCUUGGAUUCUCACGAAUAUUGUUCACAAGAUGUGGAUCAAGGACAGUAAAAGACCUUAGUAUUAGGCGGACGAUGCCGUGGUCCGUCCAUCGCGUGCUUCCAUAGCUCCUUAUUUUGUUGACGAGGGUCUUGAGCCGGUUGUACGUUUGGGUUGGCUCCUCGCCCCUGAUCAUUGCGAAUCUCCCAAGUUCACCCUCUACCAACUCCAACUUGGUGAGCAUGGUGACGUCGUUCCCCUCAUGAGAGAUUUUGAGGGUGUCCCAAAUCUGCUUGGCGUUAUCCAAGCCGCUCACCUUAUGGUAUUCAUGCCUGCACAAUGAUGCUAGAAGAACAGUAGUAGCUUGUACAUUUUUGUGAAUUUUCUCAUUGAUAAACAUGGGACUAUCACUACUAUCAAAUUGCAUUCCACUCUCUACUAUCUCCCAUAUGCUUGGAUGGAGAGAGAACAAGUGACUACGCAUUUUGUGACUCCAAAAUCCGUAGUCCUCUCCAUCAAAGUGAGGAGGUUUACCAAGUGGAAUGGAGAGUAAAUGAGCAUUUGUACUUUGCGGAAUACGAGAAUAAUCAAAAGAAAAGUUUGAAUUGACCGUUUUCUUUUUCUCGUAGUCGUUGUCGUCAUCCUUUUGGGAAGAGGAAGAUUCGUCGCUGUCGUAGUAGACUAUCUCGUUGAUGCGCCUUGUUUUCUUCUUCCUUCCGUCUUUUCUUUUGUGGCCCGAGCCUGAGUCAGUAGGCUUGUCAUACUUUGGAUCAUUGACGAAGGACUCCUUCUCCUUAUCAUUGACCACCAUCCCCUUGCCCUUAGGAUCCAUCUCUUUGGGCGAUUAGUCCCUUUCUUGAAGAGAACGGCUCCGAUACCAAUUGAGAGCACCUAGAGGGAGGGUGAAUAGGUGAUCCUGUAAAACUUAAAACUUAACACCACAAACUUGAUUAAGACUUAGAACAAUGAAAUCAAGUGAGUAGAGAGGAGAGCUCUUGUGAAGCACAAUAGACACAAUAAGGACAAGCACAAGAGACACGAGGAUUUAUCCCGUGGUUUGGCCAAGUACAAAACUUGCCUACUCCACGUUGUGGCGUCCCAAUGGACGAGAGUUGCACUCAACUCCUCUCAAGUGAUCCACAGAUCAACUUGAAUACCACAGUGUUCUUCUUUACUUUACUCUUUCCCGUUUGCGAGGAAUCUCUACAACUUGGAGUCUCUCGCCCUUACAAUAAGAAUCACAAUGAAGCAAUAGAGUAAGGAAGGGAAGCAACACACUCAAAACCACAGCAAAUACGCACACACAAGACCAAGACUUGAGCUCAAAACAAUAUCUCAAGGUUCUCACUAGAACGGAGCUCAAAUCACUAAGAAUGUCGAACAAGUCAAGAAUGAAGUGUGAGUGAUCAACAAUGCUCAAAGGAUGCUCUGUGUUCUCCUCCAUGCGCUUAGGGGUCCCUUUUAUAGCCCCAAGGCAGCUAGGAGCCGUUGAGAGCAUUUCAAGAAGGCAAUUCUUGCCUUCUGUCGCCUGGCGCACCGGACAGUCCGGUGCACCACCGGACACUGUCCGGUGCGGAUUUCUUUCCUUCUUUGGCGAAGCCGACCGUUGGCGGUUCAGAGUCAUUGGCGCACCGGACACUGUCCGGUGCACACCAGACAGUCCGGUGCCCCUUCUGACCGUUGACUCUUGCCACACGUCGCGCACGGAUUAUGCGGCCGAAAGUUGGCCCGACCGACUGUUGGCUCACCGGACAGUCCGGUGCAUCACCGGACAGUCCGGUGAUUUAUAGUCGUACGCCGUUAAUUGCUUCCCGAGAGCAGCCAAUUGGCAGACGCCGGCCUGCACCACCGGACACUAUCCGGUGCACCACCGGACAGUCCGGUGCACCCAGACCGAGCAGCCUUUUGGCUGCACACAGCCAACUUCUCCAAAGUUGUUUCUCCUGUUUCUAGCACUUAGACACAAUACAUUAGUCUUCAAAACAAUGUACUAAGUCUAGAACCAUACCUUUAAUCUUGAUUUGCACUUCUUGAGUCCUUGGCACAAUUUAACACUUAGGCACUUGUGUUGGACACUUAAUCACCAAAAUACUUAGAAAUGGCCUAAGGGCACAUUUCCCUUUCAAUAAGCAUUUUUAACUUUAACAUGCUUUUUAUUUUCCUUAAUAAGGAAUUCCUCUUGGCUAUCCAAGAGUUCAUCCUUCUCAUGAAUGACACCUAUCAAUUCAUUUAAUUUUUCUUUUUAUUGCAUGUUAAGAUUGGCAAAAAGUGUGAGCAAAUCAUCUUCAUCUUCACUAGAACUACACUCAUCACUAGAUGUAGUAUAUUUGGGGGUGGUUCUAGAUUGUACCUUCUUCUUUUUGUCGUCCUUUGCCAUGAGGCACUUGUGGUCGACGUUGGGGAAGAGGAGGCCCUUGUUGACGGCGAUGUUGGCAGCGUCCUCAUCGGAGGAGUUGGUGGAGCUCUCAUCGGAGUCCCAUUCCUGACACACGUGGGCAUCGCCUCCCUUCUUCUUGUAGUACCUCUUCUUUUCCUUCUUCUUCCCCCUCUUGUCGUCGCCCCUGUCACUAUCACUAGAUAUAGGACAUUUUGCAAUAAAAUGACCAAGCUUACCACAUUUGUAGCACACCCUCUUGGAGCGGGGUUUGUAGUCCUUCCCCCUCCUUUGCUUGAGGAUUUGGCGAAAGCUCUUGAUGAUGAGCGCCAUCUCCUCGUUGUCGAGCUUGGAGGCGUCGAUGGGGAGCCUACUUGAUGUAGACUCUUCUUUCUUCUCUUCCGUCGCUUUGAAUGCGACGGGUUGCACCUCGGGUGUGGAGGUGUCGCCUUGCUCCAAGUCGAUGAUGUGUUUGGAGCCUUUGAUCAUCAACUUAAAGCUCACAAACUUCCCAAUUACCUCCUCAGGAGACAUUAGAUUAUAUCUAGGAUCACCACUUAUUAAUUGAACUUGAGUGGGAUUACGAAAUACGAGGGAUCUAAGAAUAACCUUGACCAUUUCAUGGUCAUCCCAUUUUGUGCUCCCGAGGUUGCGCACUUGAUUCACCAAGGUUUUGAGCCGGUUUUACAUUGCUUGUGGCUCCUCUCCUUGGUAGAGGAUGAAUCGACCGAGCUCCCCCUCGAUCGUCUCCCGCUUGGUGAUCUUGGUCACCUCAUCUCCUUCGUGCGCGGUUUUUAGGACAUCCCAAAUCUCCUUGGCGCUUUUUAACCCUUGCACCUUAUUAUACUCCUCUCGACAUAGAGAGGCGAGGAGUAUAGUAGUGGGUUGGGAGUAAAAGUGCCAGAUUUGGGCGAACUCGUCUGAGUCGUAGCCCUCGUCUCCCACCGUGGGUACUUGCGCUCCAAACUCAACAAUGUCCUAUAUGCUUGCGUGGAGUGAGGUUAGGUGAUGCCUCAUUUUAUCACUCCACAUGCAAUAAUCCUCACCAUCAAAAUAUGGUGGUUUGCCUAAUGGAAUGGAAGGUAAAGGAGCGCGUUUAGAAAUGCGGGAAUAACGAAGUGGCAUCUUACUAUACUUCUUGCGCUCAUGGCACUUCGAAGUGACGGACGCCGCGUCGGAGCCGGAUGUGGAGGGCGACAAAGAGUUAGUCUCAUAGUAGACCACUUUCUUCAUCUUCUUCUUGUAGCCACUCUGAUGCGACUUGACGCGGGGAGGGGAUUCCUCCUUGCCUUUGGCGCCAGACUCCCUUGAUGGAGCCUUCCCGUGGCUUGUGGCCUUCUCGCCGGUUUCCAUCUCCCUCUUGGUAGAUCCUCCCGACAUCACUUCAAGUGGUUAGACUCUAAUGAAGUACCGGGUUCUAAUACCAAUUGAAAGUCGCCUAGAGGGGGUGGAUAGGCGGAAUCUGAAAAUUAUAAACUUAAGCACACACUACAAGUCGGGGUUAGCGUUAGAAUGAAUAUUAAGUCUGGGAGAGAAGGGAAAACAAAUCAACCAAGAAAUAAUGCGGAUGAACACGGUGAUUUGUUUUACCGAGGUUCGGUUCUAAAGAACCUAGUCUCCGUUGAGGUGGUCACAAAGACCGGGUCUCUUUCAACCCUUUCCCUCUCUCAAAGGUCACUUAGACCGAAUGAGCUUUCUUCCUUGAUUUCUUGGGUCACUUAGACCCCGCAAGGAUCACCACACGAUUGGUGUCUCUUGCUUUGCUUACAAGGCUUUAAGAAUAAGAAUGAGAGAAAGAAGAAAGCCAACCAAGCAACAAGAGCAACAAAGAAACACAAGAACGAUCCUCUCACAAGUCCUAAAGCACUAGAAUUGAAUUGGAGACUUUGAUUGGAUCGGUGGCUUUGAUUUGUGUCUUGGAGUGUUGCACUUUGCUCUUGUAUUGAAUGAAGUGUGAUGAAUGCUUGGAUUGUUGUAGUGGAGGUGGUUGAGGGGUAUUUAUAGCCCUCAACCACCAAACAACCGUUGGGGUUGGGCUGCUGUCAAUGGGCGCACCGGACAGUCCGGUGCGCCAGCCACGUCACCCAACCGUUAGGGUUCGGGCGCAGUCGACCGUUGGAGCUUUGUCUUCUUGUGGCAUCGGACAGUCCGGUGCCGCACUGGACAGGCACUGUUCACUGUCUGGUGCGCCUCUAGCGACUGCUCUGACUUCUGUGUGCACUGUUCUUCACUGUUCAUGGAGUCAGCAGCUUUUGCAGUCGACCGUUGCGCGAAGGAGUCGUUGCUCCGCUAUUGCACCGGACAGUCCGGUGGCACACCAGACAGUCUGAUGAAUUAUAGCGGAGCACGCCCAGAGAAACCCGAGGGUGGCGAGUUUGGAGUUGUACGGUCCUGGUGCACCGGACACUGUCCGGUGGCACACCGGACAGUCCGGUGCGCCAGACCAGGGCACACUCGGUUUCUUGCUCCUUUUGAAUUUGAACCCCUUUCUUCAAACUUUUAUUGGUUUGUGUUGAACCUUUAUGCACCUGUAUAUCAUAUACUCUAGAGCAAACUAGUUAGUCCAAUAUUUGUGUUGAGCAUUCAACCACCAAAAUUAUUUAUAGGAAAAGGUUAAACCCUAUUUCCCUUUCAACUUCUGUCUUGCUCAUGGUGGAAAGAUCACUUACUUCGAUUGGCAUCGACGCUGGUUGCCCAGGAAACACCCCUUUAGGAGCGAUAAGAAAAACUUUAUAAAGAACACCAUGGUCACCAAAGGACCGCCUAAACGUUUGAACGCAACGAAAAUAUAUGCUCAGUUGAACAACCUUUUCCUAAAUGAAAAAGGGGACAAAGACCAAGGAUUCGGAGUGUACCACUACUGGACAAUAUAUGUGGUCUGUGGGAGCUCCCUUAUAUGUCGUCAUUGAUUCUUGUGCACAACAUUAAUAUCAUGCACCAAGAAAGUAAUAUUUUUGAAGCAUCAUACACAUCUGCAUGCAUUUUGAAAAAACGAAGGACAAUAUGAAAGCUUGAAGAGAUCUAGCAAUGCUUUGUGGCCGACCAACCCAAGUGCUCAAUGACAACGGCAAGCCACCACGUGCCUUGUUCUGUCUUACCUCUAAGGACAAGAUCGAGGUAAUGAGAUGUAUGAAAAAAAUAAAUUUCCCGAUGGUUAUGCUGCGAGCUUGAAAGGAGCUAUGAAUUUGAAAACGAGAAAACUAACUGGGUUAAAGAGCCAUGACUUCCAUAUAUUAAUGGAGAGGAUUAUCCCUGUCAUGUUUUGUGGUUACAUGCCCGAUGCCAUAUGGCAAGCAAUUGCUGAGCUAAGAGUUCUACAGGCAGAUCUGUGCUAAAGAAAUAAGUAAAAAUAUGAUGGAGAAGUUGGAGAAAGAAAUAUCAGUGUUGCUAUGCAAGCUAGAAAAAGUAUUCCCACCUGGAUUCUUCAAUCCGAUGGGGCAUCUACUUAUUCACUUUCCAUAUGAGGCAAAGGUUGGUGGACCUGUACAAUAUAGGUGGAUGUAUCACAUUGAACGUGCACUCAAAAACCUGCGAGCCAUGGUUCAAAAUAAGGCUAGAGUAGAAGCAUGCAUCGCUGGAGCUGUUUUGCUAAAGGAGGUUUCAUACUUCACAAGUGUGUAUUUCGUAGAUGAACAAAAUGUCUAUGCUGCUAUGAUGCGAUACAAUGUCAAUGAGGAACCUCCUGUCAGUGACCUUAAAAUUUUCCAACGGAGAGGCACAAGUACUAGUAAGGGCACGUUCUACCACCUUAGCAUGGAUGAAAGAAUGCCUGCAUUGCUAUACAUGUACUCGAAUAUGGAAGAGAUGGCGCCAUAUUUCAUGUAAGUCUUUAUUUUGCCCCAUAAUUUAUUUGCCAUGGAGCCAUAUUUAAUUACUUAUUUGUUGUACAGUAAGUUCGACGAGGAAAAUUGGACUUAUUCCCAUCAGCCUACAAGCAAACAACUAGAUACGAUGCGAUGGCAUGGGAGGCAAGGAAGACCUAAUUUUGUUGACUGGUUUCGGGAGCAUGUAAACUCUUUAUAUUCCUUACUUUGAUGUCAUUUAGCCUUUUAUAAGAGGUAGUCAUUUUAGCUCUAUAUUAUUUGCAGUGCACAAAGAUUCCUAACAUACACGAGGACUUGAGACAACUAUCUUAUGGGACGGUGACUUGCAGAACCUUUGGUCGAUACGAUGUGAAUGGCUUCCGUUUUCGUUCAGAUCAAUUUGAAAUGCCUCGUCCUCGUGCAACCACACAUAACACUGGAGUUGUGACUAGGGCAUUCGAUGCACUCCGAAGAGAAACUAAUUAUUAUGGCAUCAUUCAAAACAUCCUAGAGUUUAUUUUUGUAGGGAACAAAACUUUGAAAGUAGUAUUCUUUCUAUGUGAUUGGUUUGACAACAAUAAUGGGAUUAGACAAAGUCAAUAUGGCAUAACUGAAGUAAAGCACAAGGAACGACUUCGAGGCCAUGAUAAUUUUAUCCUUGCACACCAGUGCGAGCAAGUCUACUAUAUGUCGUACCCAAAUCCGAAGUUUAAAGCAUGGUGAGUAGUUCACAAGGUGAACCCUAGGGAACGUUUACAUACUCCUUGCACUGUUGGUUAUCAAUUCGAAGACGAACAGGUCGAUGAGGUUUAUCAAGAAGAAGAAUUGCCAGCCACUUUUAUUGUCGAUGAGGGUGUUGCACUCAACUCACUAGUCGGAGACUGUAACAAUAUCACUGUUGAUGAGUGUGUUGCACUGAAACGAAAACGAAAUCCAAGGAACAAAAAACCACAUUGCGAGCUUUGGAUCGAAGAAGACUCCUUGAUCAUGAUUCCGAUGAAUUUUGAUGUGUAAUGCAUAUUUUAACUUUAUGUGAUGUAUUAUUUGUUUUUUAUUAAUUAUAUUUAAUUUUGUGGAGUUAAUACAUUUAAUGUUUUUCUAUUGAACAGGAUGAGUGGUUGGAAAACAAAGCACACUGUGAGGGGGUUUCUUAAUGCGGCUAGCAGGAUAGUCCCUAGUGCACGUUCCCUUUGCAAGGGAGUUCUUCUAGCCAGAGCAGACAGGAGGCGUUGUUGAGACACACCCGGCCAAAACUGCGUGAUGACCUAUCGCUCUACAAAGGAGUACCGAUUUAAAUGUUUAUGUAAUUGAUCUUAUUUGUCAUUCACUUAUAUAUAAAUGUGUCUUACAUGUCUCUAUUUCAUGUCCAUGGGAAGAGGAGGACGAGGAGGAGGAGGUGCAACACCAUGAGGAAGAGGUUGCAGCCAUAGAUGUCGG